RNAcentral lists this long non-coding RNA (885 nucleotides) under Drosophila melanogaster (fruit fly). RNAcentral describes it as "yellow-achaete intergenic RNA (Dmel_CR42744)". The stretch from base 522 to 596 matches the Rfam family "Yellow-achaete intergenic RNA conserved region 2". The record is from RNAcentral. Lineage: Eukaryota; Metazoa; Arthropoda; Insecta; Diptera; Drosophilidae.
AGUCCCAAAAAGCAUUCUGUGCGAAGCACUUAACGCCAAAAGUGAACAAAACAACACUUGCUCUAUUAACACGCCACACUGUCUGAAGGCAGUCGGCUUAACGAGAAACAAGAAUAUCCUACGUGUGGCUAAUUUGCGGUUAAGGAAGGCCCCAUGAUAUAUAAAGCCAAAAAAUAAAGCAAAACCGCAGCAGUUCAUUCAAAUUUUUUGUGGCCAAAACAAAUAUUAAGAUAAAAGUCAGUGGGGACUAUAAUUUGAGUUAUUCAAAUGCAAUAAAUCCGCGGAACCAAACGAGUUGCUAAUUUUACGUUAGACGCCCUUUAAUUUCACGCUGCCAUUUGUGGCUUCCGUUUCGUAUAAGUUUGGGUCGAUGAUUUUUAGAAUUUGCAUUUUCAAUUUGAAUAUAAAAAACCGCCGCUGCAGGUUUGCAGCUUUUAAAGUGAUCCGCAAUCUCAUUCCUAGUCAGUCGAAAAAAGUCCAUGCUUUUAAAUCCCGAUCUCUACAUCUGUUUUUGUUGCAGCCAAGUCAAUGUCAAGUGUUGCUUCGGCUGACUUACUACAAAAGUUAAUUGCACUGCACGCACAUGCCAAAAGGUAAAAAGAGUCGCGAGCCUCGGCGACAGGCUUCCAAAACCCUGUAUAUCCACAUCACCAGACCUCAGGACCUCAACUUACGACUCUGGCUACGAGGCGCGUGUGUGCAAUAUCAGGUUUCCGCAUCGACUUGCAUAGUGAUUCGAGGAUGUGCGAAAAUAUGAUUUAAAUUAAGGGAUCAUCAGUUUGCAACAGACUAUUUGUAUACCUUCCUUUUAGAAUAUAUAUAUAUUUUUUAUAGAAAUAUGUAAUACUAGUUAAGUCUUCUAAAGGAAAUACAUUUUUACACGUU